Molecule: ribosomal RNA, 253 nt
Filed under: uncultured bacterium
Lineage: Bacteria
Description: partial 16S ribosomal RNA
Rfam family: Bacterial small subunit ribosomal RNA
Source: RNAcentral
UACGUAGGGUGCGAGCGUUAAUCGGAAUUACUGGGCGUAAGGCGUGCGCAGGCGGUCGUGCAAGACAGGUGUGAAAUCCCCGGGCUUAACCUGGGAACUGCACUUGUGACUGCACGGCUGGAGUACGGCAGAGGGGGAUGGAAUUCCGCGUGUAGCAGUGAAAUGCGUAGAUAUGCGGAGGAACACCGAUGGCGAAGGCAGUCCCCUGGGCCUGUACUGACGCUCAUGCACGAAAGCGUGGGGAGCAAACAGG